Long non-coding RNA from Gopherus flavomarginatus (Mexican gopher tortoise), 294 nucleotides. RefSeq lists it as uncharacterized. The transcript is spliced from 3 exons. The record is from RefSeq and is a predicted model, not a curated record. Lineage: Eukaryota; Metazoa; Chordata; Testudines; Testudinidae.
CAGCUGUGGGAAAGGCUUUAGGAACAGACCGUGUUUGCAUAGACACACCUACUCUGCCUAGACUGUGCAGUGACGCCCUCCCUACCCCAGGCCUCUGGAGCCUUUGGAGCAGAAAGAUCCCAGGAGCUGAGGAGGAAUCCAGGGGAUGGCAGGUGAACUGUACAGAGGCACCUCUGGGCUUGCACUGACUAAGGACAACAGCUGUGAGUGGGGUGCAGAGAGGGGAUGGCUCAUGUUAAAGGACUUUUGGUUGCUGGACUUACAAACCAUAGGGGGAAGGACACUGCCCAGCUU